Molecule: ribosomal RNA, 360 nt
Filed under: Haptophyta environmental samples
Lineage: Eukaryota; Haptophyta
Description: SSU rRNA
Rfam family: Eukaryotic small subunit ribosomal RNA
Source: RNAcentral
UAGCGUAUAUUAAAGUUGUUGCAGUUAAAACGCUCGUAGUCGGAUUUCGGGGCGCGCGGGCCGGUCUGCCGAUGGGUAUGCACUGGCGUUUGCGCGUCCUUUCGUUCGGAGCUCGUCGCUGCUCUUAGCUGAGCGGCGUCGGGAGACGGACCGUUUACUUUGAAAAAAUCAGAGUGUUUCAAGCAGGCAGCUCGCUCUUGCAUGGAUUAGCAUGGGAUAAUGAAAUAGGACUCUGGUGCUAUUUUGUUGGUUUCGAACACCGGAGUAAUGAUUAACAGGGACAGUCAGGGGCACUCGUAUUCCGCCGAGAGAGGUGAAAUUCUCAGACCAGCGGAAGACGAACCACUGCGAAAGCAUUUG